UGGGGAAUAUUGCGCAAUGGGGGAAACCCUGACGCAGCGACGCCGCGUGCGGGAUGAAGGCCUUCGGGUUGUAAACCGCUUUUGAUGGGGAGCAAGCUUUCGGGUGAGUGUACUUUUCGAAUAAGCGCCGGCUAACUACGUGCCAGCAGCCGCGGUAAUACGUAGGGCGCAAGCGUUAUCCGGAAGUAUUGGGCGUAAAGAGCUUGUAGGCGGUUCGUCGCGUCUGGUGUGAAAGCCCAUCGCUUAACGGUGGGUUUGCGCCGGGUACGGGCGGGCUAGAGUGCAGUAGGGGAGACUGGAAUUCUCGGUGUAACGGUGGAAUGUGUAGAUAUCGGGAAGAACACCCAUGGCGAAGGCAGGUCUCUGGGCUGUUUCUGACGCUGAGAAGCGAAAGCGUGGGGAGCGAACAGG
This 411-nucleotide ribosomal RNA is filed under the name Bacteroidota bacterium. RNAcentral describes it as "Bacteroidetes bacterium partial 16S ribosomal RNA". It matches the Rfam family "Bacterial small subunit ribosomal RNA", at positions 355 to 776 of the family's 1533-position model. The record is from RNAcentral. Lineage: Bacteria; Pseudomonadati; Bacteroidota.